ACACGACUACAUUAGAUACCCGCGUAGUCCUAGCCGUAAACGAUACUCGCUAGGUGUCGGCCACGGUGCGACCGUUGUCGGUGCCGUAGGGAAGCCGUGAAGCGAGCCACCUGGGAAGUACGGCCGCAAGGCUGAAACCUAAAGGAAUUGGCGGGGGAGCACCACAACGGGUGGAGCUUGCGGUUUAAUUGGAUUCAACGCCGGAAAUCUUACCGGGACCGACAGCAACAUGAAGGCCAGGCUGAAGACUUUGCCGGAUUAGCUG
This 265-nucleotide ribosomal RNA is filed under the name uncultured archaeon. RNAcentral describes it as "partial 16S ribosomal RNA". It matches the Rfam family "Archaeal small subunit ribosomal RNA", at positions 717 to 982 of the family's 1478-position model. The record is from RNAcentral.